CCGCCCGUCACAUCAUGAAAGCCGUUUGUACCCGAAGUCACUGUGCUAACCGCAAGGGAGCAGGUGCCGAAGGUAUGGAUGGUGAUUGGGAUGAAGUCGUAACAAGGUACCC
RNAcentral lists this ribosomal RNA (112 nucleotides) under uncultured bacterium. RNAcentral's name for it is "partial 16S ribosomal RNA". It matches the Rfam family "Bacterial small subunit ribosomal RNA", at positions 1390 to 1501 of the family's 1533-position model. The record is from RNAcentral.